CCUACGGGAGGCAGCAGUGGGGGAUAUUGCACAAUGGGGGAAACCCUGAUGCAGCGACGCCGCGUGGGUGAAGAAGCGCCUCGGCGCGUAAAGCCCUGUCAGCAGGGGAGAAAAUGACGGUACCUGAAGAAGAAGCCCCGGCUAACUACGUGCCAGCAGCCGCGGUAAUACGUAGGGGGCAAGCGUUAUCCGGAUUUACUGGGUGUAAAGGGGGCGCAGACGGCGAUGCAAGCCAGGAGUGAAAGCCCCGGGGCCAACCCCGGGACUGCUCUUGGAACUGCGUGGCUAGAGUGCAGGAGGGGCAGGCGGAAGUCCUGGUGGAGCGGUGAAAUGCGUAGAUAUCAGGAGGAACACCGGUGGCGAAGGCGGCCUGCUGGACUGCAACUGACGUUGAGGCACGAAAGCGUGGGGAGCAAACAGGAUUAGAUACCCUGGUAGUC
Molecule: ribosomal RNA, 440 nt
Filed under: uncultured bacterium
Lineage: Bacteria
Description: partial 16S ribosomal RNA
Rfam family: Bacterial small subunit ribosomal RNA
Source: RNAcentral